RNAcentral lists this ribosomal RNA (307 nucleotides) under uncultured spirochete. Its description in RNAcentral is "bacterial SSU rRNA". It matches the Rfam family "Bacterial small subunit ribosomal RNA", at positions 227 to 524 of the family's 1533-position model. Lineage: Bacteria; Pseudomonadati; Spirochaetota; Spirochaetia; Spirochaetales. The record is from RNAcentral.
GGGCCCGCGUUCCAUUCGCUAGUUGGUGAGGUAACGGCCCACCAAGGCGACGAUGGGUAUCCGGCCUGAGAGGGUGUACGGACACAUUGGGACUGAGAUACGGCCCAAACUCCUACGGGAGGCAGCAGCUAAGAAUAUUCCGCAAUGGACGAAAGUCUGACGGAGCGACGCCGCGUGGAUGAAGAAGGCCGAAAGGUUGUAAAAUCCUUUUGCUGAUGAAGAAUAAGUGGGGUAGGGAAGGGCCGCAUGAUGACAUUAGUCGGUGAAUAAGCCCCUUUUUAACGGGCGUGCCAGCAGCCGCGGUAAU